Molecule: ribosomal RNA, 484 nt
Filed under: uncultured bacterium
Lineage: Bacteria
Description: partial 16S ribosomal RNA
Rfam family: Bacterial small subunit ribosomal RNA
Source: RNAcentral
AUUGAACGCUGGCGGCAGGCCUAACACAUGCAAGUCGAGCGGAUGAAGGGAGCUUGCUCCUGGAUUCAGCGGCGGACGGGUGAGUAAUGCCUAGGAAUCUGCCUGGUAGUGGGGGAUAACGUCCGGAAACGGGCGCUAAUACCGCAUACGUCCUGAGGGAGAAAGUGGGGGAUCUUCGGACCUCACGCUAUCUGAUGAGCCUAGGUCGGAUGAGCUAGUUGGUGGGGUAAAGGCCUACCAAGGCGACGAUCCGUAACUGGUCUGAGAGGAUGAUCAGUCACACUGGAACUGAGACACGGUCCAGACUCCUACGGGAGGCAGCAGUGGGGAAUAUUGGACAAUGGGCGAAAGCCUGAUACAGACAUGCCGCGUGUGUGAAGAAGGUCUUCGGAUUGUAAAGCACUUUAAGUUGGGAGGAAGGGCAGUAAGUUAAUACCUUGCUGUUUUGACGUUACCAACAGAAUAAGCACCGGCUAACUUCGUG